RNAcentral lists this long non-coding RNA (1746 nucleotides) under Salmo salar (Atlantic salmon). RNAcentral describes it as "lncRNA (ENSSSAG00000099305.1)". The record is from RNAcentral. Lineage: Eukaryota; Metazoa; Chordata; Actinopteri; Salmoniformes; Salmonidae.
GAGAGAGAUGGAGAGCUAGAGAGAGAGAGAGAGAUGGAGAGCUAGAGAGAGAGAGAUGGAGAGAGGGAGAUGGAGAGCUAGAGAGAGAAAGAUGGAGAGCUAGAGAGAGAGAUGGAGAGAUAGUGAGAGAGAGAUAGAGAGCCAGAGAGAGAGAGAUUGAGAGCUAGAGAGAGCGAGAUGGAGACCUAGAGAGAGAGAGAUGGAGAGCUAGAGAGAGAGAUGGAGAGAGGGAGAUGGAGUGCUAGAGAGAGAGGGAGAUGGAGAGCUAAAGAGAGAGAUGGAGAUGGAGAGCUAGAGAGAGAGAGACUGAGAGCUAGAGAGAGAUGGAGAUGGAGAGCUAGAGAGAUGGAGAGUGAGAGAGAGAUGGAGAGUCAGAGAGAGAGAGAGCUGGAGAGCUAGAGAGAGAGUGAUGGAGAGCUAGAGAUUGAGAGAUGGAGAGCUAGAGCUAGAGAGAGAGAUGGAGAGCUAGAGAGAGAGAGGGAGAUGAGAGCUAGAGAGAGAGAGAUGGAGAGCUAGAGAGAGAGCGAGAUGGAGAGCUAAAGAGAGAGAGAGAUGGAGAGCUAGAGAUAGAGAGAGAGAUUGAGAGCUAGAGAGAGAGAGAUGGAGAGCUAGAGAUAGAGAGAGAUGGAGAGCUAGAGAGACAGAGAGAUGGAGAGCUAGAGAGAGAGAGAUGGAGAGCUAUAGAGAGAGAGAUUGAGAGCUAGAGAGAGAGAGAUGGAGAGCAAGAGAGAGAGAUGGAGAGAGAGAGAAAUGGAGAGCUAGAGAGACAGAGAAAUGGAGAGCUAGAGAGAGAGAGAUGGAGAGCUAGAGAGAGAGAGAUGGAGAGCUAGAGAGAGAGAUGGAGAGAGAGAGAAAUGGAGAGCUAGAGAGACAGAGAAAUGGAGAGCUGGAGAGAGAGAUGGAGAACUAGAGAGAGAGAGAUGGAGAGCUAGAGAGAGAGAGAGAGAUGGAGAGCUAGAGAGAGAGAGAUGGAGAGCUAGAGAGAGAGAGAUGGAGAGCUAGAGAGAGAUGGAGAGCUAGAGAGAGAGAGAUGGAGAGCUAGAGAGAGAAAGAUGGAGAGCUAGAGAGAGAGAGAUGGAGAGCUAGAGAGAGAAAGAUGGAGAGCUAGAGACAGAGAGAUGGAGAACUAGAGAGAGCGAGAUGGAGAGCUAGAGAGAGAGAUGGAGAGCUAUAGAGAGAGAGAUGGAGAGCUAGAGAGAGAGAGAUGGAGAGCUAGAGAGAGAGAUGGAGAGAGAGAGAAAUGGAGAGCUAGAGAGAGAGAGAUGGAGAGCUAGAGAGAGAGAGAUGGAGAGCUAGAGAGAGAGAUGGAGAUGGAGAGCUAGAGAGAGAUGAAGAGCUAGAGAAAGAGAGAUGGAGAGCUAGAGAGAGAGAGACUGAGAGCUAGAGAGAGAGAUGGAGAUGGAGAGCUAGAAAGAUGGAGAGCGAGAGAGAGAUGGAGAGCCAGAGAGAGAGAGCGCUGUAGAGCUAGAGAGAGAGUGAUGGAGAGCUAGAGCUAGAGAGAGAGAUGGAGAGCUAGAGAUAGAGAGAGAGAUUGAGAGCUAGAGAGAGAGAGAUGGAGAGCUAGAGAUAGAGAGAGAGAUGGAGAGCUAGAGAGACAGAGAGAUGGAGAGCUAGAGAGAGAGAUGGAGAGCUAGAGAGAGAGAGAGAUGGAGAGCUAAAGAGAGAGAGAGAUGGAGAGCUAGAGAUAGAGAGAUGGAGAACUAGAGAGAGAGAGAUGGAGAGCUAGAGAGACAGAGAGAUGGAGAG